Molecule: ribosomal RNA, 608 nt
Filed under: uncultured Bacillota bacterium
Lineage: Bacteria; Bacillati; Bacillota
Description: bacterial SSU rRNA
Rfam family: Bacterial small subunit ribosomal RNA
Source: RNAcentral
GUGAGUAACGCGUGAAUAACCUGACUCAAAGAGGGGGAUAACAACGGGAAACUGUUGCUAAUACCGCAUGAGACCACAACACCGCAUGAUGAAGGGGUCAAAGAUUUAUCGCUUUGAGAGGGGUUCGCGUCCCAUUAGGUAGUUGGAGGGGUAACGGCCCACCAAGCCAACGAUGGGUAGCCGAGCUGAGAGGCUGAUCGGCCACACUGGAACUGAGACACGGUCCAGACUCCUACGGGAGGCAGCAGUAGGGAAUAUUGGGCAAUGGGCGCAAGCCUGACCCAGCAACGCCGCGUGAGGGAAGAAGGUUUUCGGAUUGUAAACCUCUGUCCCAUGUGACGAAGGAAGUGACGGUAGCAUAGGAGGAAGCCCCGGCUAACUACGUGCCAGCAGCCGCGGUAAUACGUAGGGGGCGAGCGUUGUCCGGAAUUACUGGGCGUAAAGGGUGCGUAGGCGGUUUGGUAAGUUGGAUGUGAAAUACCCGGGCUUAACUUGGGGGCUGCAUCCAAUACUGUCGGACUUGAGUGCAGGAGAGGAAAGCGGAAUUCCUAGUGUAGCGGUGAAAUGCGUAGAUAUUAGGAGGACACCAGUGGCGAAGGCGGCUUACU